This 505-nucleotide ribosomal RNA is filed under the name uncultured bacterium. Its description in RNAcentral is "bacterial SSU rRNA". It matches the Rfam family "Bacterial small subunit ribosomal RNA", at positions 8 to 507 of the family's 1533-position model. The record is from RNAcentral.
AGAGUUUGAUCAUGGCUCAGAUUGAACGCUGGCGGCAUGCUUUACACAUGCAAGUCGAGCGGCAGGCGCGGGGGCAACCCUGGCGGCGAGCGGCGGACGGGUGAGUAAUGCAUCGGAACGUAUCCCGUAGUGGGGGACAACCCAGCGAAAGCUGGGCUAAUACCGCAUAUGCUCUACGGAGGAAAGUGGGGGACCCGCAAGGGCCUCACGCUAUGGGAGCGGCCGAUGUCCGAUUAGCUAGUUGGUGGGGUAAAGGCCCACCAAGGCGACGAUCGGUAGCUGGUCUGAGAGGAUGAUCAGCCACACUGGGACUGAGACACGGCCCAGACUCCUACGGGAGGCAGCAGUGGGAAUUUGGACAAUGGGGGCAACCCUGAUCCAGCCAUGCCGCGUGCGGGAAGAAGGCCUUCGGGUUGUAAACCGCUUUUGGUCGGGAAGAAAAGGCGUCUCCUAAUACGGGGCGUUCUUGACGGUACCGGCAGAAUAAGCACCGGCUAACUACGUG